CUCCGCCUCCCUCAGCUCUUCGCCUCCCUUAGGGCCUCAGUUAUCUGUUUUUUUGUUCUCUCUUUGAACAAGAACAAAAACCCAGUUGGAGUUUUGUAGUUUCAAACCGCCAGAUCUGUUCUACAAUGCUAGGUACGUGUAGUUCUUGUUUUCUCUAUGCUUUUCAUUCCAAUGGGUGUUCUAGGUUUUGCUAAAGAUAAUAUUUUUUUAUCAGAUUGGGUUUUUGGUUGUUGUUAUGUGAGAUUUGGGAGCUGGGUUUUGUGUAGGAGGUUGUUUGUGAUGGUGGGUGUGGA
Quercus robur (English oak) is the source of this 293-nucleotide long non-coding RNA. RefSeq lists it as uncharacterized. The record is from RefSeq and is a predicted model, not a curated record. The transcript has 2 exons. NCBI's taxonomy places the organism in Eukaryota, Viridiplantae, Streptophyta, Magnoliopsida, Fagales, Fagaceae.